Non-coding RNA from Podarcis lilfordi (Lilford's wall lizard), 144 nucleotides. Lineage: Eukaryota; Metazoa; Chordata; Lepidosauria; Squamata; Lacertidae. The record is from the annotation of a GenBank genome assembly.
AAAGUAGGGUUUCCCAAAUCUGGAUCUCUAGCUGUUUUUGGACUACAAUUCCCAACAUCUUUGACCACUGGUCCUGCUAGCUAGGGAUGGUGGGAGUUGUAGUCCAACAACAGCUGGAGGGCCAAGUUUGGGAAACCUUUCUAU